GCAACGACUCUCGGCAACGGAUAUCUCG
Molecule: ribosomal RNA, 28 nt
Filed under: Santalum lanceolatum x Santalum leptocladum
Lineage: Eukaryota; Viridiplantae; Streptophyta; Magnoliopsida; Santalales; Santalaceae
Description: partial 5.8S ribosomal RNA
Source: RNAcentral